This 1432-nucleotide long non-coding RNA is filed under the name Lepisosteus oculatus (spotted gar). RNAcentral's name for it is "lncRNA (ENSLOCG00000021573.1)". Lineage: Eukaryota; Metazoa; Chordata; Actinopteri; Semionotiformes; Lepisosteidae. The record is from RNAcentral.
UUUACAGGUGACGACAGGUGAGGAUCUUGAACUUGUUUGUCCAUAUCUUGCUCCUGUCUGAUGUGACCGUUUAUCAGGCAUCUUGCGGCAGACCGACAGCUGACGAGAGGGAGGUGGAGUUAAGUCUGGCAGCCGGAUCAGAAUCCCAGUUAUUCCCACUCCCCUGUCCUCUCAGCCCGGGAAGAGCAUCCCUGGGGACGUUUACUGACGGAGACUGCCUGACACCUCCUUUCGUGCUGCUCAGUUCCACCCCCUGCUGGCGAACUGGAGCCGAGUGACCGGACAGUACUGGGUCCUUUCUCCCUCUGUAGGCCCAGUGUGGGUGAGCUGGGCCGGUCGUCCUUAAUGGCCAAUUACACCCCCAAAAACAAUACUAGUGAAUCAGUCAAGCCACAGUUCAGAGACCCUUCCCAACUGUGGCCUGUCUUGUGUCUUAACUUAUUAGGGCUUUCGCUGUUGACGAUGUUUCGUUGUGUGGCAGAAGGUGGUUUUUUUUUUUAAAUGUCAGUGCGUUGUGAUUCCAGGGGACCCCGUGAUUACUGAAGCCCCCGGCACUGAGAGCCCCGGUCCAGUCCAGCCUCAGACACUGGGACGCCACCAGAGCGGGCACAGGGGCCGGGAGCCCAGCCCUGCACCGGGAGACACCUUUCUCCCUUGUCUGUCCACGCAGGGAGAGACGCGGGAGACGACACGGCCACGGGUAACACAGGAUCCCCCACCGCCGCAGUCGUGGCGGCGGUGGCCUCCACCCUCUGCGCGCUGGGCCUCCUGCUCGGACUGGCCCUGCUCUGGAGGAGGUCCAGGAGACGCCGGGCCGCAGCCUUCGGCCCCGGGGCCACAGCGACGGCCGUAGAUGGCCCACCGGCGGCCGGGGCUGAAGCAGCACAGAGCACAGCAGGACAGGUGGACGACGUCCAGGGGGAGGGAGAGGUCCACUACGCCUCCCUGGGACACCAGGGCAAGAGGGACCCACGGCCCCGAGCCCAGGACGCGGACUCCAGCGUGGUCUACUCCUCCGUCGCCCGGCGCGGGACCGACUGAGCGAGCAGGCCGCGGUGGACCGGCGCCCUUCCGACCGUCCCAGCUUGAGUGAUGAACUGAAGAAGAGGACACUGCAGCGACGUCUCCUCACAUCCCGGGGGCGGGUGCGCUGUGAUUUGUACGGUUCGGUACUUAUUUAAUAUUUGACACCGUGAGUUUCUCAAUAACACUUGUAAGACGGCAGACUGCGCUGUCCGGACACGUGUCUUUGAUUUUACGGUCCUGCCCCGAGUCGUCAGAGUUACGCCACUGUGCGCUGUCUGCAGGCUUGCCUCGCUGCUUGGGUCUGUCAUACACACAGGUGCAGGUGCUCUCUGGGAACCCACACAGGUGAACUAAUACAGGAGCUCUCUGGGAACUAAUACAGGAGCUCUCUGGGAACGGGCACAGG